UUUUACGGGAUUGUAGCAAGGUCAAGCAAGUUUGGGAUAUCAUCUUCUAGCAUCCUCUUCCACCUCCAUUAUUUUUUUGGGAUAUGAGCAUCAUAAGCUAAAUUCAUCUUUUAUUGAAGACUUUGGCAGGGUCUAAUCGCCACACUAUUCCUGGUAUCACUAUUUGGAGUAUUGGGAAUUUUAGGAAUAAGUUUGUGUUCUCGUCUCAACCUUGGAUCCCUACUUAAGUGGUUGAUCAUAUUUUCAAUGCAUCAGGUGAAGUCAUUCAGAAUCCCAUCCUCGGGUGUCACAGAUCGAC
Molecule: long non-coding RNA, 298 nt
Filed under: Glycine max (soybean)
Lineage: Eukaryota; Viridiplantae; Streptophyta; Magnoliopsida; Fabales; Fabaceae
Description: long non-coding RNA (GMAX_LNC002420)
Source: RNAcentral